GACGAACGCUGGCGGCGUGCUUAACACAUGCAAGUCGAACGGAAAUGCCCAGCUGUUGGCGGGUGCUCGGUGUGCGAACGGGUGGGUAGCACGUUAGUAACCGGCCCUUGACUUGGAGAUAACUUCAAAUAACGGAUGCGAAUACCGGGUAAGAGCUCCUGCUGCGUAAGAUGGGUUUGAAAGUGUCGACGUUUUGGGAUGGACUCGCGGCUUAUCAGGUUGUGGGUGGGGUAGUGGCUUACCAAGUCUUUGACGGGUAGCCGGCCUGAGAGGGUGACCGGCCAAAUUGGGAUUGAGAUAAGGCACAGACUACUACGGGAGGCAGCAGUGGGGAAUAUUGUAUAAUGGGAGGAAGCCUGAUGCAGUAACGCCGUGUGCGGGAUGACGGCAUGAGGGUUGUAAUCUGCUUUUGCCUGUGACGAAGCGUGAGUGACGGUAAUGGGUAAAGAAGCACCGGCUAACUACGUG
This 468-nucleotide ribosomal RNA is filed under the name uncultured bacterium. RNAcentral's name for it is "partial 16S ribosomal RNA". It matches the Rfam family "Bacterial small subunit ribosomal RNA", at positions 28 to 507 of the family's 1533-position model. The record is from RNAcentral.